Molecule: non-coding RNA, 224 nt
Organism: Ciona intestinalis (vase tunicate)
Lineage: Eukaryota; Metazoa; Chordata; Ascidiacea; Phlebobranchia; Cionidae
Source: RefSeq, a predicted model, not a curated record
AGAUUUGGUUUUCUAAUAAUAAUAAUAAAAUAAUAAUUAAUAUUUAAUAACAACUAAUCAAGACCUUAAAAAUGCCUAAGAUCUUACAAAAACUGACCCGAACACAAUCGACUGGGUACAACAUGUUCUGUGCGACAUUAAAAGGAAAAAUUUAAAAAAAAACACAGAACCAGAACUCGGCAAGCUAAGAAAAAUGGGCCAAGAACUGUUUAAUGAGAAAUAUU